AGCAUUAUACCGUGAAACUGCGAAUGGCUCAUUAAAUCAGUUAUCGUAUAUUUGAUAGUACCUUUACGUACAUGGAUACCAGUGGUAAUUCUAGAGCUAAUACAUGCCACAAUCCCCGACUCUGAAGGGGUGCGUAUAUCAGGCAAAAAACCAAUGCCCUCUGGGCUAUUCGGUGAAUCAUGGUAUCCAAGCGAAUCGCAUGGCCUUGAGCCUGCGAUGGUUCAUUCAAAUUUCUGCCCUAUCAACUUUCGAUGGUAAGGUAUUGGCCUACCAUGGUAUCAACGGGUAACGGGGAAUUAGGGUUCGAUUCCGGAGAGGGAGCCUGAGAAACGGCUACCACAUCCAAGGAAGGCAGCAGGCGCGCAAAUUACCCAAUCCCAACACGGGGAGGUAGUGACAAUAAAUACUGAUACAGGGCUCUUUCGGGUCUUGUAAUUGGAAUGAGUGCAACUCAAAUCCCUCAACGAGGAACAAUUGGAGGGCAAGUCUGGUGCCAGCAGCCGCGGUAAUUCCAGCUCCAAUAGCGUAUAUUAAAGUUGUUGCAGUUAAAAAGCUCGUAGUUGAACCUUGGGCCCGGCCGCCCGGUCCGCCUAACCGCGUGCACUGGUGCGGCCAGGCCCUUCCCCCUGGGGAACCGCAUGCCCUUCACUGGGCGUGCCGGGGAACCAGGACUUUUACUUUGAAAAAAUUAGAGUGUUCAAAGCAGGCCUAUGCCCAGAUACAUUAGCAUGGAAUAAUAGAAUAGGACGUUGCGGUCCUAUUUUGUUGGUUUCUAGAACCGCCGUAAUGAUUAAUAGGGACAGUCGGGGGNCGUCCGUAUUCAGCCGCGAGAGGUGAAAUUCUUAGACCGGCUGAAGACGAUCUACUGCGAAAGCAUUCGCCAAGGAUGUUUUCAUUAAUCAGUGAACGAAAGUUGGGGGAUCGAAGACGAUCAGAUACCGUCGUAGUCUCAACCGUAAACCAUGCCGACUAGGGAUCGGGCGGCGCUCAACUGUUGACCCGCCCGGCACCUUACGAGAAAUCAAAGUCUUUGGGUCUGGGGAGUAGCGAGCCU
Molecule: ribosomal RNA, 1054 nt
Filed under: Asterodiscus tamaricis
Lineage: Eukaryota; Fungi; Ascomycota; Dothideomycetes; Stigmatodiscales; Stigmatodiscaceae
Description: SSU rRNA
Rfam family: Eukaryotic small subunit ribosomal RNA
Source: RNAcentral